GACGAACGCUGGCGGCGUGCCUAAUACAUGCAAGUCGAACGCUUCUUUCCUCCCGAGUGCUUGCCCUCCAUUGGAAAGAGGAGUGGCGGACGGGUGAGUAACACGUGGGUAACCUACCCAUCAGAGGGGGAUGACACUUGGAAACAGGUGCUAAUACCGCAUAACAGUUUAUGCCGCAUGGCAUAAGAGUGAAAGGCGCUUUCGGGUGUCGCUGAUGGAUGGACCCGCGGUGCAUUAGCUAGUUGGUGAGGUAACGGCUCACCAAGGCCACGAUGCAUAGCCGACCUGAGAGGGUGAUCGGCCACACUGGGACUGAGACACGGCCCAGACUCCUACGGGAGGCAGCAGUAGGGAAUCUUCGGCAAUGGACGAAAGUCUGACCGAGCAACGCCGCGUGAGUGAAGAAGGUUUUCGGAUCGUAAAACUCUGUUGUUAGAGAAGAACAAGGACGUUAGUAACUGAACGUCCCCUGACGGUAUCUAACCAGAAAGCCACGGCUAACUACGUG
Molecule: ribosomal RNA, 508 nt
Filed under: uncultured bacterium
Lineage: Bacteria
Description: partial 16S ribosomal RNA
Rfam family: Bacterial small subunit ribosomal RNA
Source: RNAcentral